This is an RNA transcript of Selaginella moellendorffii, 1053 nucleotides long. It is a transcript of the gene named zinc finger SWIM domain-containing protein 7-like, with no coding region annotated. The transcript has 6 exons. NCBI's taxonomy places the organism in Eukaryota, Viridiplantae, Streptophyta, Lycopodiopsida, Selaginellales, Selaginellaceae. The record is from RefSeq and is a predicted model, not a curated record.
CUCACGCCCUAGGCGCUGCUUCUAGGGUUCUUCGCGGCUAUGGCGGCAGCGGCAGCGGCGAGCGCCAUCUUGGCCGGCAUUGCAGCAACUGGACACUUGGACAAGGAAAGCCUGGCCAUGUUGCAGUUCCUGUACCAGAGGAAUUUGGCGAGGGCUCUGCGCAUACUGGACAUGGAAGGCGUGAAGCGCAUUACUGGCCAAAAUUCCAAGCGCUCCAUCUUUGUGGUUCGUGGAGAGACCGACAAGAGUGAUCAACACUUGUGCCUGCUCAAGCCCCACUUCUGCUCGUGUCCAUCUUUCUUCUUCGAUGUUGUGGUCCGCCACCAGCAUCUCUGCUGCAAGCACCAGCUGGCCGCAAGUCUCGCAGAGGCACUGAGAAUUUGCAAGGACCAAACGGUUAGUGACCAAGAGCUGGCCAUCCUGCUUUUGGAGAAAAGAAGCAAGAGGAAUCGUCGUCAAGUGCACUACGCUCUGCAAGAGAAAUGAUCCUCAUGGAUGGAUUCCUUGCUUCUUUUGCUGCAAAGCUUUUUCUCCAGGCCAGAUAAAGAGCCCAGCUUGUCCAGCGACAGGCUCCGUGCCGUUUGAAAAAAAUGUGCGACACUCUCUUCCGGGGUGCCAACCAAGACGCCGUGUCCCAGAUUGAGGAUGUGACCCUUGUUUCCAGCCUUUCUCACGACGCUGCAAAAACAAUACGCAAGGUGUUAGUCACUGCAAGACACAAGGAGAACUUACUCGACCACGGCUUCGGUGAUCGACCAUUCCGGACCGAAAAGAACGCAGGGAUCCACAUUUCCCUGGACAGCCACGGAAUCUCCCAGCCUCUUUCGACCAUCCAGCAUGUCUACUGUCCAAUCCAGGCCGAUGACAUGAGCUCCGGUGUCACUCAUUCUUUCCAGGAGGCCCCCGUUUCCAUUCGCAUAGAGGACGAUCGGAACUCCAGGACACUUGUCCUUGACAGUCCUGAUCAUCUGCGAAAAAGAAAGAGAGAAAAAAAGAAGUCUUUUGGGAAGAACUAGAAAAGAACGAUUAAAAAGAAAGGUUACCUUGCAAAUA